RNAcentral lists this ribosomal RNA (1052 nucleotides) under uncultured Actinomycetales bacterium. RNAcentral describes it as "bacterial SSU rRNA". It matches the Rfam family "Bacterial small subunit ribosomal RNA", at positions 336 to 1397 of the family's 1533-position model. Lineage: Bacteria; Bacillati; Actinomycetota; Actinomycetes; Actinomycetales. The record is from RNAcentral.
CUCCUACGGGAGGCAGCAGUGGGGAAUAUUGCACAAUGGGCGGAAGCCUGAUGCAGCAACGCCGCGUGCGGGAUGACGGCCUUCGGGUUGUAAACCGCUUUCGCCUGUGACGAAGCGUGAGUGACGGUAAUGGGUAAAGAAGCACCGGCUAACUACGUGCCAGCAGCCGCGGUGAUACGUAGAGUGCGAGCGUUGUCCGGAUUUAUUGGGCGUAAAGGGCUCGUAGGUGGUUGAUCGCGUCGGAAGUGUAAUCUUGGGGCUUAACCCUGAGCGUGCUUUCGAUACGGGUUGACUUGAGGAAGGUAGGGGAGAAUGGAAUUCCUGGUGGAGCGGUGGAAUGCGCAGAUAUCAGGAGGAACACCAGUGGCGAAGGCGGUUCUCUGGGCCUUUCCUGACGCUGAGGAGCGAAAGCGUGGGGAGCGAACAGGCUUAGAUACCCUGGUAGUCCACGCUGUAAACGGUGGGUACUAGGCGUGGGGUCCAUUCCACGGGUUCCGUGCCGUAGCUAACGCUUUAAGUACCCCGCCUGGGGAGUACGGCCGCAAGGCUAAAACUCAAAGGAAUUGACGGGGCCCCGCACAAGCGGCGGAGCAUGCGGAUUAAUUCGAUGCAACGCGUAGAACCUUACCUGGUCUUGACAUAGUGAGAAUCCUGCAGAGAUGCGGGAGUGCCUUCGGGAAUUCACAUACAGGUGCUGCAUGGCUGUCGUCAGCUCGUGUCGUGAGAUGUUGGGUUAAGUCCCGCAACGAGCGCAACCCUUUUCCUUAUUUGCCAGCGGGUUAAGCCGGGAACUUUAAGGAUACUGCCAGUGACAAACUGGAGGAAGGUGGGGGAUGACGUCAAGUCAUCAUGGCCCUUACGACCAGGGCUACACACGUGCUACAAUGGUCGGUACAAAGGGUUGCUACCUAGCGAUAGGAUGCUAAUCUCAAAAAGCCGAUCGUAGUCCGGAUUGGAGUCUGCAACUCGACUCCAUGAAGUCGGAAUCGCUAGUAAUCGCGGAUCAGAAUGCCGCGGUGAAUACGUUCCCGGGCCUUGUACACACCGCCCGU